This 433-nucleotide ribosomal RNA is filed under the name uncultured bacterium. RNAcentral describes it as "partial 16S ribosomal RNA". It matches the Rfam family "Bacterial small subunit ribosomal RNA", at positions 29 to 507 of the family's 1533-position model. The record is from RNAcentral.
AACGGACGCUGGCGGCAUGCCUAACACAUGCAAGUCGAACGAGACCUUCGGGUCUAGUGGCGCACGGGUGCGUAACGCGUGGGAACCUGCCCUUAGGUUCGGAAUAACUCCCCGAAAGGGGUGCUAAUACCGGAUAAUGUCUUCGGACCAAAGAUUUAUCGCCUUUGGAUGGGCCCGCGUUGGAUUAGCUAGUUGGUAGGGUAAAAGCCUACCAAGGCGACGAUCCAUAGCUGGUCUGAGAGCAUGAUCAGCCACACUGGGACUGAGACACGGCCCAGACUCCUACGGGAGGCAGCAGUGGGGAAUAUUGGACAAUGGGCGAAAGCCUGAUCCAGCAAUGCCGCGUGAGUGAUGAAGGCCUUAGGGUUGUAAAGCUCUUUUACCCGGGAUGAUAAUGACAGUACCGGGAGAAUAAGCUCCGGCUAACUCCGUG